This 256-nucleotide ribosomal RNA is filed under the name uncultured bacterium. Its description in RNAcentral is "partial 16S ribosomal RNA". It matches the Rfam family "Bacterial small subunit ribosomal RNA", at positions 524 to 776 of the family's 1533-position model. The record is from RNAcentral.
UACGUAGGCAGCGAGCGUUGUUCGGAGUUACUGGGCGUAAAGGGUGUGUAGGCGGUUGUUUAAGUUUGGUGUGAAAUCUCCCGGCUCAACUGGGAGGGUGCGCCGAAUACUGAAUGGACUAGAGUGCGGGAGAGGAAAGUGGAAUUCCUGGUGUAGCGGUGAAAUGCGUAGAUAUCAGGAGGAACACCGGUGGUGUAGACGGCUUUCUGGACCGUAACUGACGCUGGAGACACGAAAGCCGUGGGUAGCAAACAGG